CCUACGGGUGGCAGCAGUGAGGAAUAUUGGUCAAUGGACGAGAGUCUGAACCAGCCAAGUAGCGUGAAGGAUGACUGCCCUAUGGGUUGUAAACUUCUUUUAUGAGGGAAUAAAACGAGGCACGUGUGGCUUUUUGCAUGUACUUUAUGAAUAAGGAUCGGCUAACUCCGUGCCAGCAGCCGCGGUAAUACGGAGGGUCCGGGCGUUAUCCGGAUUUAUUGGGUUUAAAGGGAGCGUAGGUGGCUUGUUAAGCCAGUUGUGAAAGGUUGCGGCUCAACCGUAAAACUGCAAUUGAUACUGGCAGUCUUGAGUACAGCUGAGGUAGGCGGAAUUCGUGGUGUAGCGGUGAAAUGCUUAGAUAUCACGAAGAACCCCGAUUGCGAAGGCAGCUUACUAAACUGUGACUGACGCUGAUGCUCGAAAGUGUGGGUAUCAAACAGGAUUAGAUACCCGUGUAGUC
This 460-nucleotide ribosomal RNA is filed under the name uncultured bacterium. RNAcentral's name for it is "partial 16S ribosomal RNA". It matches the Rfam family "Bacterial small subunit ribosomal RNA", at positions 338 to 795 of the family's 1533-position model. The record is from RNAcentral.